Molecule: long non-coding RNA, 716 nt
Organism: Nilaparvata lugens (brown planthopper)
Lineage: Eukaryota; Metazoa; Arthropoda; Insecta; Hemiptera; Delphacidae
Exons: 3
Source: RefSeq, a predicted model, not a curated record
AGCUAAAAUAAAAUGUUAUUAACAUGUUAAUUACUUUUGUUACCAACAUCAAAUAAUAACAAACAUGUUGAAAACAUUUGUUAUUAACUCCGGUGUAAACGCAGCUUAAGAUAUUUUAUCUAUGAAACUCAGAAAACAUCUUAAUGGCUCAAAUCUUAGUGUGUGUGUGCUGAUUUAUAAUAGUGAGCCUGAUAUGAAUGAAUCAUUAGCACACUUUUCUGCCUAUUGCCACACAAUGAGGAGACUUUGGAAAUAAGAAAAUACUAUAGCUCCUUAUUACUCCGUAGUGCUAUUACGUAGAAGCAUAUCUGAAAACCCGGAGUACAGAAGAAAUACGUUUUUUACUUCGUGUCCGGCGAGUUAUCCGGGAGAAACCGGGAGUUUCCCGUGUGAGUCACCAAACGCGUUCCUGAAAAUCCGAGAAAAUGUUUCGGGUCUCCUUCUGUAAUUGCAGCUUUUGUCAACAUUGCAGGACUACUGUGAGAGCGAGCACAAAUGAAGAUACUGUGCUAUCUGAAGUUUGAGGGUAAAAAGUGAUUCCCACUUAAAUAACCUUAAGCAAGCAAUUACAAAACUCCAAGUACAUGCAUUGGAAAAAUCGAAAAAUGAAGAACUGUUAAGCACUAGAAACUCACUUUCAAUCCAUUGGAACUAUAACAACUGUUCGUCACCAUAAUGGCACAAUACUCCACACAAAUAACACAAAAUUUGUAAGU